GAAGGAAUUUUUUGUGGUGCUGCAGGGAAUUUUCCACCAGCAAUGCAUGUCCUGCAACCGCUGCAGCCGGCGCCUGCGCCGCGGCGAUCGCUUCGUGCUGCGCCGCGGCCGCCUGCUCUGCCACGCUCAUGCUGCUCGGAGCUGGGAGGAGGAACCCGAUGGAAAAAAUCCCGAUG
Molecule: long non-coding RNA, 176 nt
Organism: Catharus ustulatus (Swainson's thrush)
Lineage: Eukaryota; Metazoa; Chordata; Aves; Passeriformes; Turdidae
Exons: 2
Source: RefSeq, a predicted model, not a curated record